Non-coding RNA from Paramuricea clavata, 224 nucleotides. NCBI's taxonomy places the organism in Eukaryota, Metazoa, Cnidaria, Anthozoa, Malacalcyonacea, Plexauridae. The record is from the annotation of a GenBank genome assembly.
GCUCGGUCAAGGCGAGAAUUAAUAUAAAGGUCAAACGCACGUAACAAAUUCUAUUAUCGAUUUCUUCGAAUUUCUUUUCUUUUAUGCUUUAUGGCAGAAAAUAAAUCAAACAAACAGUAUUUUGAAAGGGCUUCAUUAAAAUCUUUGACGAAUUUGGACACACACGACGCUGAAAGAACAGCCAAACUAGUCAUGUAUUCGAAAGCUUGUUGUUGACAGCCAAG